Thalassophryne amazonica is the source of this 100-nucleotide long non-coding RNA. RefSeq lists it as uncharacterized. The record is from RefSeq and is a predicted model, not a curated record. Lineage: Eukaryota; Metazoa; Chordata; Actinopteri; Batrachoidiformes; Batrachoididae. The transcript is spliced from 3 exons.
AGUUUUACUGAGUCUGAUACUUAACGUGACUGGAUGCCACACUCACACAAUAUAACACUACCCGACCCCAAUUUAUGAUUCCUGCUGUGCUAUAUUGUUG